This 497-nucleotide ribosomal RNA is filed under the name uncultured bacterium. RNAcentral describes it as "partial 16S ribosomal RNA". It matches the Rfam family "Bacterial small subunit ribosomal RNA", at positions 28 to 507 of the family's 1533-position model. The record is from RNAcentral.
GACGAACGCUGGCGGCGUGCCUAAUACAUGCAAGUAGAACGCUGAAGAGAGGAGCUUGCUCUUCUUGGAUGAGUUGCGAACGGGUGAGUAACGCGUAGGUAACCUGCCUUGUAGCGGGGGAUAACUAUUGGAAACGAUAGCUAAUACCGCAUAACAAUAGGUGACACAUGUCAUUUAUUUGAAAGGGGCAAUUGCUCCACUACAAGAUGGACCUGCGUUGUAUUAGCUAGUAGGUGAGGUAACGGCUCACCUAGGCGACGCUACAUAGCCGACCUGAGAGGGUGAUCGGCCACACGGGGACUGAGACACGGCCCAGACUCCUACGGGAGGCAGCAGUAGGGAAGCUUCGGCAAUGGGGGCAAACCUGACCGAGCAACGCCGCGGGAGUGAAGAAGGUUUUCGGAUCGUAAAGCUCUGUUGUAAGUCAAGAACGAGUGUGAGAGUGGAAAGUUCACACUGUGACGGUAGCGUACCAGAAAGGGACGGCUAACUACGUG